UACGUAGGGUGCAAGCGUUGUUCGGAAUUAUUGGGCGUAAAGCGCGUGUAGGUGGUUAGGAAAGUUAGAUGUGAAAGCCCUGGGUUCAACCCAGGAAGGGCAUCUAAAACUACCUAGCUAGAGGGCGAGAGAGGGAGGUGGAAUUCCUAGUGUAGAGGUGAAAUUCGUAGAUAUUAGGAGGAAUACCGGUGGCGAAGGCGGCCUCCUGGAUCGUUCCUGACACUGAGACGCGAAAGCGUGGGGAG
This 245-nucleotide ribosomal RNA is filed under the name uncultured bacterium. Its description in RNAcentral is "partial 16S ribosomal RNA". It matches the Rfam family "Bacterial small subunit ribosomal RNA", at positions 524 to 768 of the family's 1533-position model. The record is from RNAcentral.